RNAcentral lists this long non-coding RNA (1851 nucleotides) under Canis lupus familiaris (dog). RNAcentral describes it as "lncRNA (ENSCAFG00000057169.1)". Lineage: Eukaryota; Metazoa; Chordata; Mammalia; Carnivora; Canidae. The record is from RNAcentral.
UCAUUAUUUGCUACUGUUUUGAGUUUUGACAUUCAGGUUUCUGUUCUUCUAAAUGAUGCUACAGUGACUAUUUUUAGUAUGGAUAUCUGUCCACAUUUAAGGAUAUUUUCUUAGGCUUUAUUCUUGCAAAAGUCAAGAAAGAUGAACAAAUGGAGCAACUUAUGUUCUAGACUCCCAACUUCCUCACCUAUCAUAAAGCACAGCAGAAACCACAAUAAUGGCAGCAAACACUUCCCCAGCAUACCCUGUGCUGGGCCUGUUUCUAGGAGUUUUACAUGUCCCAAGUCAUUUAAUCUCCCCAGUGGCCCUGUGGGUACCUCCCUGUCAUAGAAGUAGCUUGUCCAAAGUGGCACAGUCUGUCAGGGUGGAGGUAGGAUUCGACCCAGGUGGUCUGGCUCACAGUCCUUGCUCUGAACUGCUGUGAUCAUAUGGCCCCUGAGGAAAGAACUAAACCCAGUGACCCCUAGGCUACCUUUCCUCCCAAUGUUAGCUGCAUUAUCCUAUCCUACACUAGCCAUGUGCCCAGGUAACAUGGCUGCCUGGUAGGAGUUCACCGGCUCCUUGAAUCCUCUUCAUCUGCCCAUUUGAGUGCCUGAUGAGGUUGGGGUCUCACAUGUGAGUGGGUGUGAAUGGGCACAUAUGUGUGUGUGCUUAUAGAAUCUUUGGAAUGGAAUGGAGCACGCAGAGAGAAUGUGAAACAAGAAAGCCCAAGCAAUCUAUUGGCAAAACAAUAAGACACGGGCCAUCUCUGCUAAUAGCUAUAGAUAACAUCAUGGUUUCCUUUUUAUCUUAAGGUUCUCAGGCUCCUUGGCUGGGGAAUUUGUCAUUUGAUAAUUGGACUGUCACCUCAGCGCAGCAGGGCUGGGAUUGGAUGUGGCUGUCUGGCACAACCCCAUCCCAAAAGCACGUGUCUGCACUUAUGAUCUGAAGGGCACCUCCCCUUCCCAAGCAGCUGCGCCCACAUUGUCAAGAGCAUUGCUGGGUAUGAUCAUCCAUCCUGUGGGGAAAGAGGUCAUUGACAGACUCAUCACUGCGACAACAUGUCCAUGCUGCUUUUACUGCUUGCUCAAUAGUGAGAUUGUGGGGCUCCUUGGGAUUCUGACUUAGUAAAUCUGGGAGAAGCUGCGACGUGUGCUCCAAGCAGUUACCUUCCUGAGGUUUGUGAAAUCUUAGGCAGUGGGUCUCAGCCCUCAUAGGGCUUCAGAACCAUAGAGACACUUUAAAAAAAAAUACCACUUCCUUCUCCCUCUGCUGUCUUGUUCCCUCUCCAUCUCCAACUUGAAUAAUUUAUCUGGGAUGGAGUCCUGGUGCAGCAUUUAAAAAAAAGCUUCUCAAGAGACUUUCAUGUGCAGCUGGAGUUGGGAACCACUAGUCUAAGAAAUUCUGGCAAGAAUAAUUUUAUGCCUUUACAUUUAAGUGCACUUCACAUUUUACAAACCUUUUCCACAAUUGAACAUCACAACAAUCCACUAAGGUCAGCAGAGCAGGCAUUUUUAUGAUUGAUCCUGGUCCAGAGACGUUGACUAAGUUGCCCAAGGUUGCACAGCUUCUCCCUCAUUCAGCAGCACCUGUUCUCUGCCCAGCCCAGGCCAGACCUGCCAGGCCCUCUGGGAGGGGGCAGCCUCCCCUCCCCUUAAGAUCUUCUAGGAUCGGGAUCCCUGGGUGGCGCAGCGGUUUGGCGCCUGCCUUUGGCCCAGGGCGCGAUUCUGGAGACCCGGGAUCGAACCCCACGUCGGGCUCCCGGUGCAUGGAGCCUGCUUCUCCCUCUGCCUAUGUCUCUGCCUCUCUCUCUCUCUCUCUGUGACUAUCAUAAAUAAAUAAAAAUUAAAAAAAAAAUUUAAAAAAAAAAAA